CUUGCAUUCAUUUCAUUCGUGUUGUUUGCUUCUUUGUGAUCGGACGGUUUGUGUCUCUCGGUGGCAGCGUGUUUAUUUUAUUCCAUCAAAGAAUCAAACAAAGCGGAUCAAGUCUUACUAAAUUGAUUAUUUUACUCGCAAAGGUACGAAAAUCGAUUGUCGGAAUCCCCGAGUGUUGAAGAUCAUCUCAUUCCCAAAAUCGUGAAAACGUGAGUGCUUGUGUUCGCCGUCAUUCUGCGAAGUGAUGUGGAUGUGAAGUUCUUGUUGACCGAUCGAGAUUGAUCAAGCGAAACCAAACCCCAACCACAACAAAAGUACGACCGCAGAAACGAGUGCCAGAAAUAAAAACCAGCAGCUCAGCUCAUCGUUGGCUGGACAGUGAUUUAACGUAACACUGCUGAUGGUGACUGUGAAGGGAGAAAGUGUUCAAAUUUCAAUCGUAUUCGUGAUCAGUUUCGGUCUUUCAGCUUCAAUUGAUUAGAACAAUAGUGGUAGCAUUGAAUAGUGGUCGUUAUUCGAUUGGGUUUUGUUUUAUAGAAUUGCACAUAAAUACCUACCUAACAACUGUGAACGACAAUAUUUCCUCGUAUUGCGUGGGUGUGCUUCCCAAAGUUUGGUGCUGUUGAAGAAAAAAGGUGUAAGAGUGGCUGAAGAGAAUGCUGCAUACAUUAUUCAUGGUGAAAUUCAAAUAAUUUCAUUGUGUUGAAGAAUUGGAAUUCGAGUGGUAGUGCUUGCCAUACUAUUGAGCAACGAAAGAGUAAUAGCAAUCUAACGUUUUCGAGCAAGGAUAUACCAUCUACUCGCGAACCAAUUGUUAAGGGAGGAGUCAGAGACGAAAUCGGAUUAUCGUCUGCUGUGCGUCAAAAAAGUAUCCGGAGGAGUCAGAGACGAAAUCGGAUUAUCGUCUGCUGUGCGUCAAAAAAGUAUCCGAUCACAUACCACGACAGAUAAUAGUGGCCGUAAACGUGCGUUGAACAAGCACAACCAGGCAGUGCAUUCCAUCUUCCGUGUGAAAGCAGUCCAACCGUGUCCACUGCGGAUUAAUAAGACAGGGGGAACGUCGGAGACUUCCUCAUUGCGAACAGCCCCCAACUCCGGUCAUAGUGGAGAAGAAUCUGAAAAGCGGUAAAAUGGCCAGUACUGGCGAUAUCUGGCUACAAUGGUUUUCCUGUUGCUUCCACCAACCGCAAAGUCCCCGGCGGCGGCGACAUCACCAGCGGCUGCGGAUAGACCGGUCAAUGAUAGGAAAUCCCACCAAUUUUGUGCACACGGGCCACAUCGGUUCCAACGACGUCGAGCUUUCCACGAACCACCUUUCGGCGAUACAGAAUCAAAUGCAGAGUAAAGGCGGCUACGAAAUGAACUCGCUAAGACUACAGGCCUGCUGAUAAACCGUGGUAUGCCACCGUCCAUUAAUUUAUUCCUAGUUCAUAAGGCUAUUAUGCUUUGAAAACUAUAGCACUGUACACAUAGAUCAACAUUGCUAAGUGGGGAUAAUUAGGAGAAACAAUUACAUAUUAACUUCAUAGCCGGCGAAUUAAUUCACGCUGAAGCGGGAAGGCAUGGUACAGUUCAUCAAAACGACUUCAACAAAGUAAUUCAGAUCCUAUGCCUUCCUUGCAGAAUACUGAAAAGUUAAUCCACUACUAGACUAUAGCCGAAAUCAACACCUUAAGGUUUCGAACAACAGCCUUAUGAAAACUAGGGUAGCCAACGAGAUAACAAGAUGGAUAACGAAACGAAAGAGAUAGUUUUGCGUGAAUUUGAAUGAAUGAGUUUUCCUAUAGAUGAUACUUAGAAUAUGAAGAAUUGAUUGAAAAAAAAAAAUCGUGGUGCUUCACUAAGAGAUCAAAAGUUAAUUAAUAAUAAACUAAAAACCGAAUGUGCCACAUGUGCACCGAUGUAAAUCAUUGUACAUAGUUCCUUUGAAUUAAAAAAAAGUGUCAAUUAGUAUCGACUAUAUUAUACUCACACGUAGAAAAUGUAAGCCCAUCGAAAUAAACUGAAUUGACAAAAGCGAA
This is an RNA transcript of Aedes aegypti (yellow fever mosquito), 2021 nucleotides long. It is a transcript of the gene named CDC42 small effector protein homolog, with no coding region annotated. Lineage: Eukaryota; Metazoa; Arthropoda; Insecta; Diptera; Culicidae. The record is from RefSeq and is a predicted model, not a curated record. The transcript has 8 exons.